This 1681-nucleotide long non-coding RNA is filed under the name Homo sapiens (human). Its description in RNAcentral is "HSALNT0355872". The record is from RNAcentral. Lineage: Eukaryota; Metazoa; Chordata; Mammalia; Primates; Hominidae.
AAAUGUCGGUGUGCUCUCAUGAACAGAAACGAUGGCACGGUGGGUCCUGGUCUCAAGACUUCCUCUCAAUGAUUCAGAGGUCUUGGGGGUUUUUUGUCUGAAUAUCAGGCAAAGAGGAAGGACGGCUACAAUGGAGGAGUCUCCUACCACGCUUGUGGUCGUCACUGUAGUGCUCAGUUGAAUGGUGUGUCCAUUGGGGUUGGAGUCCCCAUCCUGUUCUGGGUCCUGGCCCCCCACAGGCUCCAGGGACAUAACCCUUCCAGUUCAGGAUCAUGUGCUGGGGCACUGUUCCCUGAGGUGGGACUCUGGGCUGUAACAGCUGCUUUUGAAGCAUGUUCCAGCUUCAACCACGUGCUUGGACGACACCAGCUCUUCCCACAUACUCUUCCCCAGCUCUUGUGUUGAGUUUGGCUUCCACCUUCCUCCAGCUGAGAAAACACCUAUGCAGAAUUGCAAGUUGUGAUGGGCCCUUGAAAAUCAACGUGUGUGCCGAAUCCAGGUGGAUGCUGUGACCUCACAAAAGCUGUGAAGGUGUGCUAUCGCAGAGUGGAGGUGUGGCAAAGUCCAGAUUCAAGAAAAGGCUGAAGUCAGCUUGUGUCCCUGACCUGGGAUCUCAGCCUUAAUCUCAUGUUUAGAAGUGAGGCCAGUGCCAUUGGCCAUUGACAUCCAGAAGAUAAACUCUCAUGGAAUGACAGCUGACAAACAGCAGAUGCCUUCAGACUGGCAGAUUCUUCUAUCUUGUGUUAAUGCAUCUUUAUGGGAAUUCACAAUGUUCUCUAGGCAGGGGUCCAAGUGAUAAGCACCAGAGCUUUGAAAUAAGAUAGUAGAAAGCGGGGUAGGCUGUGCUUUUGAAGUGCAUUUUCCUGGCAAACGGAAGAUGGCCCUCCUCAUUCUGCCAAAGGGAAUUCUAAGAGCCAAGAUUGCAUAAGAGGAUUGCAUUUUGGAUGUUUUUAGGAUGUGAGCUGAGGUAGGCUUAGCUCUGGCUCAAGGAUUUCAAAGUAACUGACUUGUUUUGUGUACUUUCAGCUCUCUGCAACUCUUGCUGAAUUUUGGCAUCUUUAGCAGAGCAGGAGCAAUCAGCAUUGAUAAACAGAUUUCCUCUUGUAUGGGUGCCUUGCCAGUGCAGGGAUGUGCAGUGAUCUUUCACCCUCUCAGCUUUCCUCUCGAUACUGCAUUCAUCAUUUCAAGAGCUUUCAGGAAUGUGGGCCGUGCUGACAUUUUGUAAUGUCUAUCAGGAAUUGAGAUUUUAGGGUAACAACAUAAAAUGUUCCUAAGGUGAAGGUUUUGUUGUUGUUUUUGUUGUUAAUUGCCUACAUUAUGACAGUUUUGUACUUAAUUAUCACCACAUAUCUAGCUGCUUGAAAACUGUUUCUUUUUUAAAAAUACAAAGCAAUAAAAAUAUAAACUUAAAUUUCUUUAGCUUUAAUAUAUCUUGGUUCACCUCCUCUAAUUAAUUUGCCAUUCAGCUCAUUUCAUUAAUGUAUAAUAAAAUAACAAUUUGACAUUUGGAUAAGUUAGUGAAUUUGGGGCUUAUGCUUUUCAAAGCUGAUACUUGUUUUCUCUUAGGUUUUUAUUAUUGUAUUAGAGCCAUAUAAUAAAGGAAGAAAAAAAAAAUAAAAAAAUCCAUGGGAUUAAAGAAGAAAUUAUGUUGAUUAAAAUGUGUCAUUUGAGCCAGAUGUUC